RNAcentral lists this ribosomal RNA (559 nucleotides) under Nyctiphanes australis. RNAcentral's name for it is "LSU rRNA". It matches the Rfam family "Eukaryotic large subunit ribosomal RNA", at positions 2311 to 2858 of the family's 3401-position model. The record is from RNAcentral. Lineage: Eukaryota; Metazoa; Arthropoda; Malacostraca; Euphausiacea; Euphausiidae.
GCGCAUGAAUGGAUUAACGAGAUUCCCACUGUCCCUAUCUACUAUCUAGUGAACCCACAGGCAGGGGAACGGGCCUGCAAGAAACAGCGGGGAAAGAAGACCCUGUUGAGCUUGACUCUAGUCUGAUUUUGUAGAGAGACAUGAGAGGUGUAGCAUAAGUGGGAGUGAGCAAUCACGCCGUUGAAAUACCACUACUUUCAUCGUUUCUUUACUUACUCGGUGAGACGGGGACGGACCCGCGAGGGUCUUCCUUCUAGCUCUAAGCCCCGGUACUUCGCGUCCGGGGCGACCCGCUCCGAGGACAUUAUCAGGCGGGGAGUUUGACUGGGGCGGUACAUCUGUCAAACGAUAACGCAGGUGUCCUAAGGCCAGCUCAGCGAGGACAGAAACCUCGCGUAGAGCAAAAGGGCAAAUGCUGGCUUGAUCCUGAUUUUCAGUACGAAUACGGACCGCGAAAGCGUGGCCUAUCGAUCCUUUUGACUUGAGGAGUUUUCAGCAAGAGGUGUCAGAAAAGUUACCACAGGGAUAACUGGCUUUGUGGCGGCCAAGCGUUCAUAGC